Molecule: unclassified non-coding RNA, 229 nt
Filed under: plant metagenome
Description: partial contains small subunit ribosomal RNA, internal transcribed spacer 1, and 5.8S ribosomal RNA
Source: RNAcentral
UCUCCGUAGGUGAACCUGCGGAGGGAUCAUUACAGAGUUCAUGCCCUACCGGGUAGGUCUCCCACCCUAUGUUAUUAUUACUUUGUUGCUUUGGCGUGCCGUUAGGCUCCGGCCCGACUACCGGCCCCGGCUGGUAAGCGCCCGCCAGAGGACCCAAUAUCCUGAAUAUUAGUGUCGUCUGAGUACUAUAUAAUAGUUAAAACUUUCAACAACGGAUCUCUUGGUUCUG